Molecule: ribosomal RNA, 742 nt
Filed under: uncultured bacterium
Lineage: Bacteria
Description: bacterial SSU rRNA
Rfam family: Bacterial small subunit ribosomal RNA
Source: RNAcentral
AGAGUUUGAUCCUGGCUCAGAGCGAACGCUGGCGGCAGGCCUAACACAUGCAAGUCGAACGGACCCUUCGGGGUUAGUGGCGGACGGGUGAGUAACACGUGGGAACGUGCCUUUAGGUUCGGAAUAGCUCCUGGAAACGGGUGGUAAUGCCGAAUGUGCCCUUCGGGGGAAAGAUUUAUCGCCUUUAGAGCGGCCCGCGUCUGAUUAGCUUGUUGGUGAGGUAAUGGCUCACCAAGGCGACGAUCAGUAGCUGGUCUGAGAGGAUGACCAGCCACAUUGGGACUGAGACACGGCCCAAACUCCUACGGGAGGCAGCAGUGGGGAAUCUUGCGCAAUGGGCGAAAGCCUGACGCAGCCAUGCCGCGUGUAUGAUGAAGGUCUUAGGAUUGUAAAAUACUUUCACCGGUGAGGAUAAUGACUGUAGCCGGAGAAGAAGCCCCGGCUAACUUCGUGCCAGCAGCCGCGGUAAUACGAAGGGGGCUAGCGUUGCUCGGAAUUACUGGGCGUAAAGGGAGCGUAGGCGGACAUUUAAGUCAGAGGUGAAAUCCCGGAGCUUAACUUCGGAACUGCCUUUGAUACUGGGUGUCUUGAGUGUGAGAGAGGUAUGUGGAACUCCGAGUGUAGAGGUGAAAUUCGUAGAUAUUCGGAAGAACACCAGUGGCGAAGGCGACAUACUGGCUCAUUACUGACGCUGAGGCUCGAAAGCGUGGGGAGCAAACAGGAUUAGAUACCCUAGUAGUCC